CCUACGGGAGGCAGCAGUGAGGAAUAUUGGUCAAUGGACGAGAGUCUGAACCAGCCAAGUAGCGUGAAGGAUGACUGCCCUAUGGGUUGUAAACUUCUUUUAUAUGGGAAUAAAAUGUUCCACGUGUGGGAUUUUGUAUGUACCAUAUGAAUAAGGAUCGGCUAACUCCGUGCCAGCAGCCGCGGUAAUAUGGAGGAUCCGAGCGUUAUCCGGAUUUAUUGGGUUUAAAGGGAGCGUAGGUGGAUUGUUAAGUCAGUUGUGAAAGUUUGCGGCUCAACCGUAAAAUUGCAGUUGAAACUGGCAGUCUUGAGUACAGUAGAGGUGGGCGGAAUUCGUGGUGUAGCGGUGAAAUGCGUAGAUAUCAGGAGGAACACCGGUGGCGAAGGCGGCUUACUGGACCAUAACUGACGUUGAGGCUCGAAAGCGUGGGGAGCGAACAGGAUUAGAUACCCCAGUAGUC
This 460-nucleotide ribosomal RNA is filed under the name uncultured bacterium. Its description in RNAcentral is "partial 16S ribosomal RNA". It matches the Rfam family "Bacterial small subunit ribosomal RNA", at positions 338 to 795 of the family's 1533-position model. The record is from RNAcentral.